AGAGUUUGAUCCUGGCUCAGAUUGAACGCUGGCGGCAUGCUUUACACAUGCAAGUCGGACGGCAGCACGGAGAAGCUUGCUUCUUGGGUGGCGAGUGGCGAACGGGUGAGUAACAUAUCGGAACGUACCGAGUAAUGGGGGAUAACUAAUCGAAAGAUUAGCUAAUACCGCAUAUUCUCUGAGGAGGAAAGCAGGGGACCUUCGGGCCUUGCGUUAUUCGAGCGGCCGAUAUCUGAUUAGCUAGUUGGUGGGGUAAAGGCCUACCAAGGCGACGAUCAGUAGCGGGUCUGAGAGGAUGAUCCGCCACACUGGGACUGAGACACGGCCCAGACUCCUACGGGAGGCAGCAGUGGGGAAUUUUGGACAAUGGGCGCAAGCCUGAUCCAGCCAUGCCGCGUGUCUGAAGAAGGCCUUCGGGUUGUAAAGGACUUUUGUCAGGGAAGAAAAGGCUGUUGCUAAUACCGACAGCUGAUGACGGUACCUGAAGAAUAAGCACCGGCUAACUACGUGCCAGCAGCCGCGGUAAUACGUAGGGUGCGAGCGUUAAUCGGAAUUACUGGGCGUAAAGCGAGCGCAGACGGUUACUUAAGCAGGAUGUGAAAUCCCCGGGCUCAACCUGGGAACUGCGUUCUGAACUGGGUGACUAGAGUGUGUCAGAGGGAGGUAGAAUUCCACGUGUAGCAGUGAAAUGCGUAGAGAUGUGGAGGAAUACCGAUGGCGAAGGCAGCCUCCUGGGAUAACACUGACGUUCAUGCUCGAAAGCGUGGGUAGCAAACAGGAUUAGAUACCCCGGUAGUCCAA
RNAcentral lists this ribosomal RNA (801 nucleotides) under uncultured bacterium. RNAcentral describes it as "bacterial SSU rRNA". It matches the Rfam family "Bacterial small subunit ribosomal RNA", at positions 8 to 798 of the family's 1533-position model. The record is from RNAcentral.